RNAcentral lists this unclassified non-coding RNA (241 nucleotides) under Hevea brasiliensis (rubber tree). The record is from RNAcentral. Lineage: Eukaryota; Viridiplantae; Streptophyta; Magnoliopsida; Malpighiales; Euphorbiaceae.
AUCAAGAAGAGGUGGCUAAAGAAACUGAACACCACUUGUCGCAGAAAAUCAUAUCUCUUAAAGCUGAGAUUGAAAAUCUAUUAGCAGACAAGAAUAUCCUUCAUCAGCAUGCCGAACAGAAAAAUAUGCUAAUUGAGGAGUUGGAAAGUACUAGGAAAUCAAUUGAGAACAUGCAAUUGCUUGUCGAGCAAGGUCACAGUGAAAGAAGAGAACUAGAAACUAGGCUAGAUUUAGUGGAAAA